UUUCUGACACUGAGGCACGAAAGCGUGGGGAGCGAACCGGAUUAGAUACCCCGGUAGUCCACGCCGUAAAACUAUGGAUACUAGCUGUUAGGGGGUAUCGACCCCCCCAGUAAGCGAAGCUAACGCGUUAAGUAUCCCCGCCUGUGGGAGUACGGUCGCAAGACUAAAACAUAAAGGAAUUGACGGGGACCCGCACAAGCGGUGGAUUGUGUUCUUUAAUUCGAUGAUAAACGGAGAACCUUACCAGGGUUUGACAUCCCAAGAAUUUUGCCGAAAGGCGAGAGUGCUUUAUUGAACUUGGUGACAGGUGAUGCAUGGCCGUCGUCAGCUCGUGUCGCGAGAUGUUUGGUUAAGUCCAUCAACGAGCGCAACCCUUGUGAUUAGUUGUAUUUUUCUAAUCAGACUGCCCCGGCAACGGGGAGGAAGGAGGGGAUGAUGUCAGGUCAGUAUUUCCCUUACAUCCUGGGCUAGAAACGCAAUACAAUGGCCAGUACAAUGUGCAGCGAAGCCGCGAGGUGAAGCAAAUCACAUCAAAGCUGGUCCCAGUUCGGAUAAGAGGCUGAAACUCGCCUCUUUGAAGUCGGAAUCGCUAGUAAUCGCAGAUCAGCAAGCUGCGGUGAAUACGUUCCCGGGUCUUGUACACACCGCCCGUCAAACCAUGAAAGUGACCAACACCCGAAGUCCGAUUCGUCGGCCUAAGGUGGGGGGCAUGAUUGGGGUUAAGUCGUAACAAGGUAUACCGUACCGGAAGGUGUU
Molecule: ribosomal RNA, 756 nt
Filed under: uncultured bacterium
Lineage: Bacteria
Description: bacterial SSU rRNA
Rfam family: Bacterial small subunit ribosomal RNA
Source: RNAcentral